The submitters of this non-coding RNA (220 nucleotides) gave its source as unclassified sequences. The record is from Rfam.
GAGGAUACACUCGGUUCUUCUUCACGCCCCCACAGUUGGGGAUGCACCUUGGUUAGCUAAUUCAUAGAAUGGCUGGUCACUUCAAGGGUGUAUCGGAUUCUGUGGUGAGCCGCCCACGAAGUUGAACUAGAAAUUUAGCCCACUUUACACAAGAAGGGCGGGCGGAGGCGCGUUUGAGCCCUGGGGACGGGGCGAGCGAGGGCACCCUUAAAGGAGUAUU